CGGGGUACCCUUUGACCCUCCUUAGUUCAACCAAAUGAAUUAAAAUUUUAAAAUGAUGCAACUUUUUGAAAAACUAGUUCAUUUAUUUAAACUAAGCAGGGUCAAAGGAUGCCCAG
Brachypodium distachyon (stiff brome) is the source of this 116-nucleotide non-coding RNA. Lineage: Eukaryota; Viridiplantae; Streptophyta; Magnoliopsida; Poales; Poaceae. The record is from Rfam.